This 481-nucleotide ribosomal RNA is filed under the name uncultured bacterium. RNAcentral's name for it is "partial 16S ribosomal RNA". It matches the Rfam family "Bacterial small subunit ribosomal RNA", at positions 28 to 507 of the family's 1533-position model. The record is from RNAcentral.
GACGAACGCUGGCGGCGUGCUUAACACAUGCAAGUCGAACGCUGAAGCUCAGCUUGCUGGGUGGAUGAGUGGCGAACGGGUGAGUAACACGUGAGUAACCUGCCCCCUUCUUUGGGAUAACGCCCGGAAACGGGUGCUAAUACUGGAUAUUCACUGAUCUUCGCAUGGGGGUUGGUGGAAAGGUUUUUUCUGGUGGGGGAUGGGCUCGCGGCCUAUCAGCUUGUUGGUGGGGUGAUGGCCUACCAAGGCUUUGACGGGUAGCCGGCCUGAGAGGGUGACCGGUAACAUUGGGACUGAGAUACGGCCCAGACUCCUACGGGAGGCAGCAGUGGGGAAUAUUGCACAAUGGGCGAAAGCCUGAUGCAGCGACGCCGCGUGAGGGAUGGAGGCCUUCGGGUUGUAAACCUCUUUCGCUAAUGGUCAAGCCGCAACAUUGGUUGUGGUGAGGGUAGUGGGUAAAGAAGCGCCGGCUAACUACGUG